UGAGCAGAUGAGCAAACCCUAGUGCACCCCUCAUUCUCCCAACUCUCACUGCGCCGCCUCUCCUAAUCUCAGCCCUCAACCUCUCCGAAUCUCCCUUCUCGCAACACUCCGCCACUCGUUGGCGUCUCUCCACCACUCGCCGGUCUCCCUCUCUCCGCCCAGAAGCUCCAACGCCACCAUUGUUGUUUCUCCGCCACUCUCCGUCCUCUCUAUCUCGCUCUUUACGAGUUUGCCAGUGGCCCACGAUAGCUCGUGAUGUAUUGGCCAUCCCUAUUUCCACCGUUGCCUCUGAGUCCACCUUUAGCAACGGAGGACGUGUAUUGGAUACCUUUAGUAGUUCAUUGUCUCCUCUUACCGUUGAGGCCUUGAUUUGCACAGAAGACUGGUUAAAGAACCGCUCAAUGAUCUAUGAGGAAGUAUUUCAAGACUUUAUGGAAAGCUAUGAUGAACUUGAUGGGCCUCAGAAUCAACAUUCAAAUUCAAGGACGACUGAAACAUCUUUUUUCUAGAAGAAUGUUAUCAUUUUUUGACUUGUCAUUAUAUUUAUAUUACAAUAUAAUUGUUUAGUUUGUCAAUUUGUUAAGUUUAUAAUAUUUAUUGUUGUUAUCUUCACAUGAUUUUGCUAGAAGACCUCAAGACCAAAUGGGAGUCAUGUUGUUGUUUCCACAAGAAUUUUUUUAUGUUGAGUGUGGGUGUGUGGACUAUGUAUAUGGUUUGAACUUUGAUUUUUUAAUAUGGUUUGAUGAUUGAUUGGUGUGGGUGUGUGGACUAUUUGAAUAUGGUUUGAUUUUUUGAUGUUGUGAAUCAAACCAUGUUGCAUUGUUGUGAGUGUGGGUGUGUGGACUUGUGGACUAUGGACUAUGGACUAUUCAAAUAUAGUUUGAUUUUUUGAUGUUGUGAAUGUAGGGGUGUGUUGAUA
Alnus glutinosa is the source of this 919-nucleotide long non-coding RNA. RefSeq lists it as uncharacterized. The record is from RefSeq and is a predicted model, not a curated record. The transcript has 3 exons. Lineage: Eukaryota; Viridiplantae; Streptophyta; Magnoliopsida; Fagales; Betulaceae.